This 697-nucleotide ribosomal RNA is filed under the name Nautella sp. AC122-G26. Its description in RNAcentral is "bacterial SSU rRNA". It matches the Rfam family "Bacterial small subunit ribosomal RNA", at positions 62 to 805 of the family's 1533-position model. The record is from RNAcentral. Lineage: Bacteria; Pseudomonadati; Pseudomonadota; Alphaproteobacteria; Rhodobacterales; Roseobacteraceae.
UCGAGCGCGCCCUUCGGGGUGAGCGGCGGACGGGUUAGUAACGCGUGGGAACGUGCCCAGAUCUAAGGAAUAGCCACUGGAAACGGUGAGUAAUACCUUAUACGCCCUUCGGGGGAAAGAUUUAUCGGAUUUGGAUCGGCCCGCGUUAGAUUAGGUAGUUGGUGGGGUAAUGGCCUACCAAGCCUACGAUCUAUAGCUGGUUUUAGAGGAUGAUCAGCAACACUGGGACUGAGACACGGCCCAGACUCCUACGGGAGGCAGCAGUGGGGAAUCUUGGACAAUGGGGGCAACCCUGAUCCAGCCAUGCCGCGUGAGUGAUGAAGGCCUUAGGGUCGUAAAGCUCUUUCGCCUGUGAUGAUAAUGACAGUAGCAGGUAAAGAAACCCCGGCUAACUCCGUGCCAGCAGCCGCGGUAAUACGGAGGGGGUUAGCGUUGUUCGGAAUUACUGGGCGUAAAGCGCGCGUAGGCGGAUUAGUCAGUUAGAGGUGAAAUCCCAGGGCUCAACCCUGGAACUGCCUUUAAUACUGCUAGUCUUGAGUUCGAGAGAGGUGAGUGGAAUUCCGAGUGUAGAGGUGAAAUUCGUAGAUAUUCGGAGGAACACCAGUGGCGAAGGCGGCUCACUGGCUCGAUACUGACGCUGAGGUGCGAAAGUGUGGGGAGCAAACAGGAUUAGAUACCCUGGUAGUCCACACCGUAA